GGAUAACAUACCGAAAGGUAUGCUAAUACGGGAUAAUAUAUUUGAGAGGCAUCUCUUAAAUAUCAAAGGUGAGCCAGUACAGGAUGGACCCGCGUCUGAUUAGCUAGUUGGUAAGGUAACGGCUUACCAAGGCGACGAUCAGUAGCCGACCUGAGAGGGUGAUCGGCCACAUUGGAACUGAGACACGGUCCAAACUCCUACGGGAGGCAGCAGUGGGGAAUAUUGCACAAUGGGCGAAAGCCUGAUGCAGCAACGCCGCGUGAGUGAUGAAGGCCUUCGGGUCGUAAAACUCUGUCCUCAAGGAAGAUAAUGACGGUACUUGAGGAGGAAGCCCCGGCUAACUACGUGCCAGCAGCCGCGGUAAUACGUAGGGGGCUAGCGUUAUCCGGAUUUACUGGGCGUAAAGGGUGCGUAGGCGGUCUUUCAAGUCAGGAGUGAAAGGCUACGGCUCAACCGUAGUAAGCUCUUGAAACUGGGAGACUUGAGUGCAGGAGAGGAGAGUGGAAUUCCUAGUGUAGCGGUGAAAUGCGUAGAUAUUAGGAGGAACACCAGUUGCGAAGGCGGCUCUCUGGACUGUAACUGACGCUGAGGCACGAAAGCGUGGGAAGCAAACAGGAUUAGAUACCCUGGUAGUCCACGCUGUAAACGAUGAGUACUAGGUGUCGGGGGUUACCCCCCUCGGUGCCGCAG
RNAcentral lists this ribosomal RNA (690 nucleotides) under uncultured bacterium. RNAcentral's name for it is "bacterial SSU rRNA". It matches the Rfam family "Bacterial small subunit ribosomal RNA", at positions 141 to 851 of the family's 1533-position model. The record is from RNAcentral.